This is a non-coding RNA of Equus caballus (horse), 1165 nucleotides long. The record is from RefSeq and is a predicted model, not a curated record. NCBI's taxonomy places the organism in Eukaryota, Metazoa, Chordata, Mammalia, Perissodactyla, Equidae.
CUGUGGUUUGUUUUGGAGAAGGCUGUCAUAAAGCAUUGAUGGGCUGCCCGGGAAAUUCAAAGAAUCUGUACUUUUGAAGAUGUACAAACUGCCUUUAAAAAUGGGGUAGGUUCCAGUUUGAGUGCAUCCAGGUGACUAGCACGGCCUCUUGGAACAUUUCCAGAGUGAAGUAUGUUCUCCCUCUCCUGGAAGAGCCGACUCCACGUACCUUUCCCACCCAGACCUUCCUUUCACCUGAAAUGGACAUGAAACAGGGUGACAUCCAUUCUUCUCUAGGCCCCACGAACAAGAGCAGUGGUAACAAACUGUUGCUGAGAAAAAAUUGCCCUGAGCCCCGAUGCAGACACUGGGGAGCAGAGAGUGUAAUCACUCACCUAAGGAUAGAUAGCAGAUCGUCACUGUGUAGAAGUGAUCACAGCCAAAUGGAGAUUGCUUAUCCGAAAUAUGAGAAGAUGCUGCAGAAUUAUGUGGCAUAUGUGAUCAACAUAAAGCCAGAAACAGAAAAAGAGGAGAUAAACAACCAAGAGAGGAUGGAGAGCAAGAAAACAGAAAUUUCCGGAAGAAAUUGAUAAAUGAAAUGCACAGUGACAAAACCAGAAAUGAUUUACUCUGGGAGACAAUGGAUUCAUACUGUGUUGUCUAUUACAAACAGGACACAAACAGUAGCUCCCAGUCCCAAGCGCUGCUUCAUUUUGGCUCUUGUAGGGCCCCUGGCCCCCCAGUUGGUAAAUUUGCUCGCAUCUAACACCCUCUCUACUGGCCUGCUGUUGGAGCCCAGGUUUCUGAAGCUUUGAAUAAUUGCUUCCAGCAGAAGGACAGGAUCAUGGGGUACAAGGUGCCAGGACACUGUACCAACAGCAAUCUCAGAAGAACUGGUGACAUAAUGACUUGGUAAAAUGAAGACUCAAAUGCAGAGAAAGAGCAACUAGAUGAGAGGAGAAAAAGAAAGGGAAAUGGGUAAAUAAGAAGAAAAAAAACUUUGAGGUGUGAACGUCUUAGGGAUACAAAUAGAUGGACUUGCAGUGAAAUUAACUAAUGCCACUGGAUUGGAGUGUCACAUCAAGAUCUGCACCUCUUCUGGAAAACGAAGUUCUCAGCACAGCCGGGCACAGCAGGGUGUUAUUCAAUGAAUAAACGACCACUGGUCUCCCACUGCCUAACUGAA